This 484-nucleotide ribosomal RNA is filed under the name uncultured bacterium. RNAcentral's name for it is "partial 16S ribosomal RNA". It matches the Rfam family "Bacterial small subunit ribosomal RNA", at positions 29 to 507 of the family's 1533-position model. The record is from RNAcentral.
AUUGAACGCUGGCGGCAUGCUUUACACAUGCAAGUCGAACGGCAGCGCGGGCUUCGGCCUGGCGGCGAGUGGCGAACGGGUGAGUAAUACAUCGGAACGUGCCCAGUAGUGGGGGAUAGCUCGGCGAAAGCCGGAUUAAUACCGCAUACGACCUGAGGGUGAAAGCGGGGGAUCUUCGGACCUCGCGCUAUUGGAGCGGCCGAUGGCCGAUUAGCUAGUUGGUGGGGUAAAGGCCUACCAAGGAGACGAUCUGUAGCUGGUCUGAGAGGACGACAAGCCACACUGGGACUGGGACACGGCCCAGACUCCUACGGGAGGCAGCAGUGGGGAAUUUUGGACAAUGGGCGAAAGCCUGAUCCAGCAAUGCCGCGUGUGUGAUGAAGGCCUUCGGGUUGUAAAGCACUUUUGGCGGGAACGAAAAGGACUGUGCCAAUACCACGGUUCGAUGACGGUACCCGCAGAAUAAGCACCGGCUAACUACGUG